AUUGUGCCAAGGAUAUUGGAGUUGCGAAGUCAACUGGCCGAUUGGGCAAUAGGCCGCAGGAGAGGACGAUGCGCCGAAGAAUCAGACGAAGCGUCGAGGGACCAAUGACAUGCCGGACAACUUGGUUAAUUGCUUAGGAUUAAUUGUCUCGAUCGAAGUUUUGCUUUAAUUGUGCAGGAUUAACUAUGAUAACGAUGAAGACAUAAA
This 207-nucleotide long non-coding RNA is filed under the name Musa acuminata (dwarf banana). RNAcentral's name for it is "long non-coding RNA (MACU_LNC008442)". The record is from RNAcentral. Lineage: Eukaryota; Viridiplantae; Streptophyta; Magnoliopsida; Zingiberales; Musaceae.